Molecule: small nucleolar RNA, 95 nt
Organism: Cinclus cinclus
Lineage: Eukaryota; Metazoa; Chordata; Aves; Passeriformes; Cinclidae
Product: small nucleolar RNA SNORA17
Exons: 1
Source: RefSeq, a predicted model, not a curated record
GGCUGGAGUUUGGAUGAGGGACAGCAGCAGAGAGGGGGGGCUCUGGGCUCUGGGCUCUGGGCUCUGAGUGCCAGAGCCCUUGGGAGCCCCACGGG